UGUUUAUAAAAAUUUUUAUAAAUAAAACCUGCUCGAUGAAAAUUUAAAUAGCUGCAAUUUUUGUACUAAGGUAGCAUAAUCAUUUGUUUUUUAAUUUAAAACUAGAAUGAAAGGUAAAACAAAUUAUUUCUUUAUUCAUUAUUUUAUUUUAAUUUAUACUAAAUAUAAAAAUAUAUUUUUACAAAAAAAAGACGACAAGACCCUAUUGAACUUCACUUCAGUUUAGCUGGGGGAAGCUAAAUAAUAAAUAUUUUAUUAUAAAUUUUUAAAUGACCCAAAAUAUUUGACUUUAUAAUCAAGUUACCAUAGGGAUAACAGCGCAAUAAAUUUUUAAAGCUCUUAUCUAAAAAUUUGUUUACGACCUCGAUGUUGAAUUAGAAAUCUUUAUUAAGCAAAAAUAAUAAAAGUAGGUC
RNAcentral lists this ribosomal RNA (413 nucleotides) under Spintharus sp. MX 00006349A. RNAcentral describes it as "partial 16S ribosomal RNA". Lineage: Eukaryota; Metazoa; Arthropoda; Arachnida; Araneae; Theridiidae. The record is from RNAcentral.